RNAcentral lists this ribosomal RNA (292 nucleotides) under uncultured bacterium. Its description in RNAcentral is "partial 16S ribosomal RNA". It matches the Rfam family "Bacterial small subunit ribosomal RNA", at positions 505 to 796 of the family's 1533-position model. The record is from RNAcentral.
GUGCCAGCCGCCGCGGUAAUACGUAGGGUGCGAGCGUUGCCCGGAAUUAUUGGGCGUAAAGAGCUCGUAGGCGGCCUGUUGCGUCCGCUGUGAAAUCCCAGGGCUCAACCCUGGGCGUGCAGUGGAUACGGGCCGGCUGGAGGCAGGCAGGGGAGAAUGGAAUUCCCGGUGUAGCGGUGAAAUGCGCAGAUAUCGGGAGGAACACCGGUGGCGAAGGCGGUUCUCUGGGCCGAUACUGACGCUGAGGAGCGAAAGCGUGGGGAGCGAACAGGAUUAGAAACCCCGGUAGUCC